AAAGUAACGUAACGCAUUACUUUCCAUAAAAAGUAAUUAGUUAGUUACUUUUCCCCAAAUGAAUUCCCCAAAUGUGGGAAUCUUGACUGCAUAAUUUAUGGUAGUGUGGGACUGCGUUCGCGCUCUCCCCUG
This 132-nucleotide small nuclear RNA is filed under the name Sinocyclocheilus grahami. RNAcentral describes it as "U1 spliceosomal RNA (ENSSGRG00000046625.1)". It matches the Rfam family "U1 spliceosomal RNA". Rfam says of the family: U1 is a small nuclear RNA (snRNA) component of the spliceosome (involved in pre-mRNA splicing). Lineage: Eukaryota; Metazoa; Chordata; Actinopteri; Cypriniformes; Cyprinidae. The record is from RNAcentral.